RNAcentral lists this ribosomal RNA (516 nucleotides) under uncultured bacterium. Its description in RNAcentral is "bacterial SSU rRNA". It matches the Rfam family "Bacterial small subunit ribosomal RNA", at positions 8 to 518 of the family's 1533-position model. The record is from RNAcentral.
AGAGUUGAUCAUGGCUCAGGAUGAACGCUAGCGGCAGGCCUAACACAUGCAAGUCGCGGGGCAGCACGGGUAGCAAUACCUGGUGGCGACCGGCGCACGGGUGCGUAACGCGUAUGCAACCUACCUAUCAGGAGGGGAAUAACCCGGCGAAAGUCGGACUAAUACCGCAUAAAACAGGGGCACCGCAUGGUGAUAUUUGUUAAAGAAAUUCGCUGAUAGAUGGGCAUGCGUUCCAUUAGGUAGUUGGUGAGGUAACGGCUCACCAAGCCGACGAUGGAUAGGGGAACUGAGAGGUUGGUCCCCCACACUGGUACUGAGACACGGACCAGACUCCUACGGGAGGCAGCAGUGAGGAAUAUUGGUCAAUGGGCGGGAGCCUGAACCAGCCAAGUCGCGUGAAAGGAAGAAGGAUCUAUGGUUCGUAAACUUCUUUUGCAGGGGAAUAAAGUGCAGGACGUGUCCUGUUUUGUAUGUACCCUGAGAAUAAGGAUCGGCUAACUCCGUGCCAGCCGCAGC